GUGACACACAUCCACCAAUAUCUGACGCUAAUCCAACGCGCACGUGCUGCUGUUAAUGGAGUUCAGAUAUUAACAGUUAACCAUUGAAUGGACGCGCAACCCGCGCACCGCAGCGGCCGCCGUCUCGCCUCCGCCACAGUUAUUCCCCAGCUCGCGUCGCACGCGCCAGCGGCGUCAAUAAACGUACGUUAGCACAAACCGUGCGCAUCCGAAGGCAAAAGGUUUAAAAAAAAAAGAGGCAACAUUUACGUCUAGACCUCGGUCACGCAAACGCACGCACACGCGCGCAUCGCGGCAUGAUUCAUUCUGCCAGCGAACCGCACGCAGGCUGCUACAAUGUAGCCUCCGAGCCCCGACGCGCGGAGAUCAACGCGGCAUCUGUUACUGGAGAAAUGCACAACCUGCUCCGCAGCCCGCCGGUCCAAUCCCGACGGCACGGCGCCGCGUGGUAGUAAAUAAGAAGAGACGAAGAAGAAGCCGCGCGUCACCGUUCCGGGCUCCGACGCGCUCCCGUGCGCUGCUCCAAGUGGUCACUCUAUUGUUGAGAAACAAUCUGAGCCAAAGUGGAAACAAAACCUUCCCGAGACAAGAGGCUCGCGGCGCGACACCGGGAACGGGAACGUUAAGUUUGCAGCUACUCACCGGGUUCGUAGGCGAAGAAAGUCCUCGGUAACGAUGGGCUCUGGCGUGUGUUUUUUUAAAUAUCUUCCCCCCUCACGGCCACUGAGAACGGGCGCAACGUCAGUGGGGACCUAUGCUCGGUGGCUGCUGACAAAAUGUGUCGCGGAUUCUGCGCGGAGGAGACGCCAGCGGGGGGGGAGGGAGCGGAGCGGAGCCGAGCUGUCACUCCGCUCCGCGACCAUCUGGGUCUGCGACUGUGGCACCGACCCGGUCCAAGACGGUUCGCCGUACGCGUUCCGUACAGCUCGUCGCCGCUCUCUGAUGGAAAGCUCUGAAUAACAAAGACAUGUUUGAGAGCAGCAGCGGCGGCGGCGGCAGGCUGGGCCUGAGCGGAGCGGAGCGCUGACGUCAAGGAGCCGUGACUGUGCCAAGCAGCAUCCAGACCCCAGGCCCACCAGACGCGCGCGCGCGCGCGCGCACACGCGUACGCACGCUGGAGCGCUCGUGCCCCCGUGGCCUGUUUGGAAACAGCCCCGUGAUAAAAGUUCCAAACACGCCACCGUCCAAGCUGUGAGUGACUCUCUGGGAGUUGGGGUGUGAUGAGAGUCAGAGUGCACGUCCUUGGGAGUCACCGUUCAGCUGAAGCUGCUGUGUUUGGACUCCUCUUAGACCUCUUCCUUUUUGGCCUGUGUCUCUAGCCCAGCUGUCUAAGUUAGGGGGAGGGAUGGACUGGAACAAUAGGCGCCAUUUGUCCUACUAAAAGGUGACAGGAAGCAUUGAUUUCAGCCUGUUCCAGGCUUUAAGCCAUGCCCGAACUGGCUAAUGUGAACAUUUCCCACCGACGAACAUUGGACAUUUUCUGGGUAAUUGUUAUUCACAGUCGUAGCAGGAUGCAGGGGUGAACCUCAUCCAUUUCACUCAGCUUUUACAUGUUUUAUUGCAUCUCAUGUUCAAUAGGUGCAAGAUGUUUAAAAGCUAUAAUAAAAGUAAACAAAGGGGGGGUGAAAAAAAUUAA
RNAcentral lists this long non-coding RNA (1636 nucleotides) under Betta splendens (Siamese fighting fish). RNAcentral's name for it is "lncRNA (ENSBSLG00000021521.1)". The record is from RNAcentral. Lineage: Eukaryota; Metazoa; Chordata; Actinopteri; Anabantiformes; Osphronemidae.